Molecule: unclassified non-coding RNA, 229 nt
Filed under: rhizosphere metagenome
Description: partial ribosomal RNA internal transcribed spacer region
Source: RNAcentral
GUAGGUGAACCUGCGGAAGGAUCAUUACCGAGUGAGGGCCCUCUGGGUCCAACCUCCCACCCGUGUUUAUUUACCUUGUUGCUUCGGCGAGCCUGCCUUUUGGCUGCCGGGGGACGUCAGUCCCCGGGUCCGUGCUCGCCGGAGACACCUUAGAACUCUGUCUGAAGAUUGUAGUCUGAGAUUAAAUAUAAAUUAUUUAAAACUUUCAACAACGGAUCUCUUGGUUCCG